CUGUGGUGUGUGUACUGAAGAGUGAGUCAGUGCACUCAGCCCCUGCAGUGAGGAGCCUUGAUGGAGCCAGAGCCAGGAGGUGCACAGUGUAAAAGUGUGGAAAAAGAAAACACAUGGAAAGUUCUUCUGGUGCAUGCAUGAAGCUGACACGUUACCAUGGAGACCUGGGCAGUACUGGCAUUGUGUCCCGGCGGGCGUCACUUCCAGGAUGACGUCACGCCCGAAACCGGAAGUGCGCCGCGGUCAUCGGGAGCGCACGCCAUUUGGCUGCUGUUCAGGGGAGCUAGACGGAACGGAUGGAGGGUGAAGUGAAGUGGCUUGUUCUUGUUGCAACACUGUCCCAGGGUUAAUUCACCUUUGCAGUCACUGCUACUCAGCUUUCCAAUCAACUAGUUUCCAGGUGUCCUAUGCCCUGGCAUGGUAUCACUGUGUUAUGUUGGAAAAGUGGGUGUACAGGUGUUGAUAUUGCAGUUAUAUAGGCACACACCAGCGGAUAUAUCAAACUACAGUAUGAACAACUCAAUUACUUAACCAGUGGUGUUCGUUCAUUGAAAGAUAGCUGGCACAACUGUAUUAACUGUUACAUGUAUACUGGUUAUGGAUCAGAGCUUGAGCCCACCAUGUCACACUACACAGUCUCACACAGUAAAAGACAAGAUGGCCCCUGCACAUUCUUAGUAGAGAUCCCAGUGGCCAUCUUAGGAUAGGGCAUGAAGCCUCCAGGAUGACUGAAGUAUACGUAGUAGCGUCUCUUUCAACGCGUUAUUCAGUGAUACAUAAUUUUUAUUUAGUGCUACAUAAGUAUACCACAAAAGCGCAGUAAACAGAUCACAAAGGUGCAGAGUAAUCACAGAUGUCAUAUUAUAGCAGCCCCCAUAGGUCACAAUGGUGGCUGUGCAGGUCCAUUCUUUAUAAAUGUGAGAAGCUUUUA
This is a long non-coding RNA of Pseudophryne corroboree (corroboree frog), 931 nucleotides long. RefSeq lists it as uncharacterized. NCBI's taxonomy places the organism in Eukaryota, Metazoa, Chordata, Amphibia, Anura, Myobatrachidae. The record is from RefSeq and is a predicted model, not a curated record. The transcript is spliced from 4 exons.